GAUGAACGCUGGCGGCGUGCUUAACACAUGCAAGUCGAACGGCAGCGCCGUGCUCUUGCAGCCUGUCGGCGAGGGGCGGGCGGCUGAGUCACGCGUGGAAACGGCCCUCAAAUUGGGGAAUAAUUGCCCAAACGGGUACCUAAUACCGCAUAUUAUCCUCGAAUCAAAGUGGUUAUCCGAGUUGGGAGCGGCUCGCGUCGGGUUGCGUCGGUGGUGAGGUUAUGGCUCAGCAAGGCGCCGACCCAUGGCUGGUCUGAGAGGCUGACCAGCCAGGCUGGAACUGAGACACGGUCUAGACUCGGACGGGAGGGUGCAGAGAGGAAUAUUCCAGAAUGGGCGAUAGUGUGAUGACGCAACGCCGCGGGCAGGACGAAGGGCGUCGGGUUGUACACUGCUUUUAUAAGUGAGGAAUGUGACGGUAACGGAUGAAGAAGGACCGGCUAACUACGUG
This 451-nucleotide ribosomal RNA is filed under the name uncultured bacterium. Its description in RNAcentral is "partial 16S ribosomal RNA". It matches the Rfam family "Bacterial small subunit ribosomal RNA", at positions 28 to 507 of the family's 1533-position model. The record is from RNAcentral.